This 513-nucleotide ribosomal RNA is filed under the name uncultured bacterium. Its description in RNAcentral is "bacterial SSU rRNA". It matches the Rfam family "Bacterial small subunit ribosomal RNA", at positions 33 to 518 of the family's 1533-position model. The record is from RNAcentral.
ACGCUGGCGGCGUGCCUAAUACAUGCAAGUCGAACGGUCUUUCUAUGGAAGCUUGCUUCCACUGAGAAGAUAGUGGCGAACGGGUGAGUAACACGUGGGUAACCUGCCCAUAAGAGGGGGAUAACAUCCGGAAACGGGUGCUAAUACCGCAUAGUUUUCUUGAUCGCAUGAUUGGGAAAGGAAAGACGGCCUUUGUGCUGUCGCUUAUGGAUGGACCCGCGGCGUAUUAGUUAGUUGGUGAGGUAACGGCUCACCAAGACGAUGAUACGUAGCCGACCUGAGAGGGUGAUCGGCCACAUUGGGACUGAGACACGGCCCAAACUCCUACGGGAGGCAGCAGUAGGGAAUCUUCCGCAAUGGACGAAAGUCUGACGGAGCAACGCCGCGUGAGUGAAGAAAAGGUUUUCGGAUCGUAAAACUCUGUUGUCAGAGAAGAACAAGUUGGAGAGUAACUGCUCCAGCCUUGACGGUAUCUGACCAGAAAGCCACGGCUAACUACGUGCCAGCAGCCGC